GUUAAUAUUCAUGUAUAUAUAAUUUUACGAUAACAUAUUUUUUUUUUUCGAGUAAUAAAUAAAACAACAUAUAACGUUUUGAAUUAUUUUAUUUAUAUAUUAGCAUAUACAUGUUCCUAUAUUAUAUAGUGCGUUUAUUUUGUUCACUAUAAAGACAAAGAAUGCUUGAAUUUUUAUAUAUUAUUUAUAAUAUAUAUUUAUAUUAACUUUUUAUGUACUCUCUUUUUGAUUAUAUAAUUGUUAACAAUAUAUUUUUCAUAUACUCAGACAAAAUUGAUACUCCGCGUGUUGUGGAUAUUUAUUAUUUUAUAAUUUUUUAAUUCAUUUUAUUGUAUUAUAUAAUAUUUAAUUAUAUGGCAUUUUUGCUUUAUUAUUUUUUAUUACAUUUUAUUACAUUUUAUUAUAGUUUUUUGUAUUUUGUUAUAGUCUAUUAUAGUAUAUUACAUUUUUUGUUUUUUUGUUUUUUUGUUUUUUAAAUAAAAAACAUUUAUUUACCAUUAUAAGUAUUAAUUAAAUUUAUAUAGUCAGUGAAGAUGAUGAAAAAACAAGUAAUACUGUUUAUCGCGUUGUUAAUUUUUUAUUUUUUUUUAAUAAAUAGUGUCGACGGUAAAAAGAAAAAAAAAAAAAAAGUAAGUUCUUCUAAUGAUGGAAGUACCAAGGUUACUACGAAAGCUAAUAAUAAUGUGGAUAAUGACGAUGAAGUUCAAAACAUAGACCCUAACGAAAUUGCAAGUGAUGAAGACAAAAAUAAAACUGCAAAACUGCUUAAUUUUGACCAUAUGCAUAUGGAGGAAAUAGAACAGAUUAAAAAACUAAUGAAUGAAAAUAAAAUGGAAGAAGCCAGGAAAAUGUUUAAUGAGUUAAAAAAAAAAAUGUUUAAUAAUAAAAAUGAUGACACAUAUGAUGAGAAUGAUGAAACUGAAGUAAAUGAAGAGGUUGAAAAUAAAAACAGUGAUCAAUCUGAUGAAAAUGAUGAAAGUAGUGAAUAUAAUAUAUUGAAUAAUAAUUUUCAAUUGUCAGAUUUAGCUAAUUAUGAUUUUUUUAGCACUUUAAUAAACCCUAAUGAUUUACAAGAAGUUAUUAAAUUUCACAUGUACUUACAGAAAUUGUUAAAAUCAAAAAAUGAAACUUCAGAAAAAAAAAUGGUCAAAACAUUUUUAAGAAAAACUAUGCAAAAAAUGAAAGAUAAUGAAAAAAGUGAACAAAAAAGAUCUAUUGAUGACAUUAUUAAAGAUACAGAGGGACAUAAAGAAAUGUUAGAAAAGUUAGCGGAUUUUAUAAAAAUAGAUAGAGAAAAAUUAAAAGAUGAGCAAAUAAGAAAUAAAUUAAAUCAAAUACUAAUAGGUAUGUUACAAUUUAUUGAAUAUACCAAUGAUAAUAGAAUCACGGACUCUCUCCUGGAAGAUAUUCAAAUAGAAGAUGUGGUUGCACCUGAUGGAACCGUUAAACCAAAAAUACAAUUAAAUGUUAAAAAUAGUAAAACGCAUUUAGAAAUGUUACAAAAGGCAACUAAAUUUAUGGGCUUAGAAAUAGAUACAGAGGAUUUGAAAAACUUAACAAUCAAUAAUAAAUGGUAUGAGAGUUUUUUAAAUAAUAUGCUUAACAGCUCAGAUGAACUUUAAACGA
Molecule: long non-coding RNA, 1626 nt
Filed under: Piliocolobus tephrosceles (Ugandan red Colobus)
Lineage: Eukaryota; Metazoa; Chordata; Mammalia; Primates; Cercopithecidae
Description: lncRNA (ENSPTEG00000012881.1)
Source: RNAcentral